UACGUAGGGUGCAAGCGUUAAUCGGAAUUACUGGGCGUAAAGCGUGCGCAGGCGGCUAUGCAAGACAGAUGUGAAAUCCCCGGGCUCAACCUGGGAACUGCAUUUGUGACUGCAUGGCUAGAGUACGGCAGAGGGGGAUGGAAUUCCGCGUGUAGCAGUGAAAUGCGUAGAUAUGUGGAGGAACACCGAUGGCGAAGGCAGCCCCCUGGGUUAACACUGACGCUCAUGCACGAAAGCGUGGGGAGCAAACAGG
RNAcentral lists this ribosomal RNA (253 nucleotides) under uncultured bacterium. RNAcentral describes it as "partial 16S ribosomal RNA". It matches the Rfam family "Bacterial small subunit ribosomal RNA", at positions 524 to 776 of the family's 1533-position model. The record is from RNAcentral.